RNAcentral lists this ribosomal RNA (446 nucleotides) under uncultured bacterium. Its description in RNAcentral is "partial 16S ribosomal RNA". It matches the Rfam family "Bacterial small subunit ribosomal RNA", at positions 338 to 795 of the family's 1533-position model. The record is from RNAcentral.
CCUACGGGUGGCAGCAGUCGAGAAUCAUUCACAAUGGGGGAAACCCUGAUGGUGCGACGCCGCGUGGGGGAAUGAAGGUCUUCGGAUUGUAAACCCCUGUCAUGUGGGAGCAAAUUAAAAAGAUAGUACCACAAGAGGAAGAGACGGCUAACUCUGUGCCAGCAGCCGCGGUAAUACAGAGGUCUCCAGCGUUGUUCGGAAUCACUGGGCGUAAAGCGUGCGUAGGCUGUUUCGUAAGUCGUGUGUGAAAGGCGCGGGCUCAACCCGCGGACGGCACAUGAUACUGCGAGACUAGAGUGAUGGAGGGGGAACCGGAAUUCUCGGUGUAGCAGUGAAAUGCGUAGAUAUCGAGAGGAACACUCGUGGCGAAGGCGGGUUCCUGGACAUUAACUGACGCUGAGGCACGAAGGCCAGGGGAGCGAAAGGGAUUAGAUACCCGUGUAGUC